RNAcentral lists this ribosomal RNA (785 nucleotides) under uncultured fungus. RNAcentral's name for it is "eukaryotic LSU rRNA". The stretch from base 226 to 379 matches the Rfam family "5.8S ribosomal RNA". Lineage: Eukaryota; Fungi. The record is from RNAcentral.
UGCGGAAGGAUCAUUAAUGAAUUGUAGUGGGAGUUGAUGCUGGCAGUUGCCUCUUUGGCUGCAUGUGCUCGCUUCUACAAUCCUUAUCCCAAAACACCUGUGCACCUGCUGAGGGGGAAAUUCCUGAAACGACUGCUGUUAGUUUUCUUGGGUUUCCUUCCUGUCACACACACUGCUUACAAUGUUGAAUGUGGUUGUGCCAUGCCAAGGCAUUUAAUCUAAUACAACUUUUAACAACGGAUCUCUUGGUUCUCGCAUCGAUGAAGAACGCAGCGAAAUGCGAUAAGUAAUGUGAAUUGCAGAAUUCAGUGAAUCAUCGAAUCUUUGAACGCACCUUGCGCUCCCUGGUAUUCCGGGGAGCACACCUGUUCGAGUGUUGUGAAAUUCUCAAGCUGGGAUACUUUUUUCUUGGCUUGGUAUUGGGCUUUGCCGUGUUUAUGAACGGCUGGCCUUAAAAGUAUUAGCUGACCUUUAUGUGGGAUUGGUUCUACUCGGUGUGAUAAUGAUCUGACCACCGAGGACAUCUUUUGGGAUGGCCAAAUUCUCAUUCGGGUUGCUUCUAAUCUGGUUUUGCAGAGUCUCAAAUCUGCUCCACUUUUCAAUUUUGACCUCGAAUCAGGUGGGACUAACCCGCUGAACUUAAGCAUAUCAAUAAGCGGAGGAAAAGAAACUAACAAGGAUUCCCCUAGUAACGGCGAGUGAAGCGGGAAAAGCUCAAAUUUAAAAUCUGGCAGUCUUUGAUUGUCCGAGUUGUAAUCUAGAGAAGCGUUUUCCGUGCUGGACCG